Molecule: long non-coding RNA, 1551 nt
Filed under: Rattus norvegicus (Norway rat)
Lineage: Eukaryota; Metazoa; Chordata; Mammalia; Rodentia; Muridae
Description: long non-coding RNA NONRATT001958
Source: RNAcentral
CGCCUUUCUGAGUUCACUUCCCAACAUUUUAAAGGAAAACACUUUUAUAGGUCUCAAAAUACAUUUAAAAGAAGAUUUAGGAGAGCAUCGUUGCUUCUUUCUAAACUGACACGAUUAAUGGAAGCUCUAGUAACUUCCACAGCUGAUUCCUUUGAAGAGUCUGGGUUGUUUUGAGACAAAUCCCCUUUUCCCAUUUAAUGCUGAUACAGUCUGAGGUCCUGCUUUAAGGAAACGAGAUUUCAGUUCACUAAAACAAAAGGUGCUUCUUCCCACAGCCUCAUACUGAGAGAGAACUUGUGCUAUAAAGUGUGCAUUAUGGUUUGUGUGUAUGUGUUCAUACAGAAUAGACAUAUACUACAUACAUUAGAAUCAUUUGCUUUAUUUUCUAGAAAUAAGAAACUGACCAGUAUUUCCUUUGAUUUAGUGUAAGAAAAACUUCCCCUUCCCUUAGUCUCUCCUUGUUCUAAGUAUACAGGGCUUCAAGGCAGGGGCGUUGCCUUGUAAAGAUGGAUUUUCCACCAUCUAACCUCUCGCAAUCUGUGCUGUCAUCAUCGUUACCAGGAUCUGCUGAUGAUGGAGCAAGUGAAAGACUUUGCUGCCAACGUGUACGAAGCAUUCAGCACCCCCCAACAACUGGAGAAAUGAUUGUUUUCUUUCAAGAAAAACCACAGUGGAUUCAUCUACAUUAAAAAGUACUCUGAAUAAAUCACCUAUACCUAGAGUGACAAUUUGCAACCAAAUGCCUAAUAAAAUAUAUUCUUGAGCCAAGUCUUCAUCUCAUAAUGAAGUAGAUUCAUUUAGCACCUUACUGUAUUUUUAAUUCAGCACAGUCUACUUCCUCAGGUGUAUCUAACUGUGCAGAGAUCACGUCAGCAUCAAUCAUGAUUCCUUAAAGUCUGGAUAGCUGAUCCAAACAAGUAGGGCUUUUAUACAUACAUGGAAUGGAAUGUGGUGUCCUUUCACACAUGUAAUGAGGGAAAAUGUGUCUUGAAAAGGAGAUCUAGGCUGUUUAACUAAUUAUGGCGUUUCCUGGACUCUGAAGUAAGCAAGAGCAAGCCAGAUCCUCUUCAGUCGCCCUUAGAAGGCACCCGUGAUUUGCUCACACAUACCUACGCAGGGGCUUAUCUUCUAGAAAUGAGUGGGUUUCCACACCUGUGGUCACUUACUUCUCUGCACUGUCCUGUCAGUAUUUAUUUGCAGCAUUUUCUAAGCUUCAUUAGCAGCCCUCAGAAGGCUGCAUAUAGAUUCUUCAAGCUAAUGUUUAUGUUGUUUACUCACAAUUAUUAAUAAUUACAGGUUUAUUCAUUUAUGUAUAAAUUAAUAACUUUGUAUUGAUUUUGAGUAUAAUAAGUUGUUACAAUAAACUAUUUUAAUAAAAUAUAGUUUGGUUUAGUUAAUAGUUUUUUAGCCAUUAAUUUAUUUGUUCUUUAAUAAGAUUUUUGCUGUUUUUUUUUAAAGAGAGCAUGCUAAUUUUAACUGGUAUAUAGUUAAUGCUUUCUUAUAAUUUUUUUCAGAAAAAAUGUAAAUAAAAACAAAUUAUCUCUUGUUUCU